GUCCCUGUAGCGCAAUGGAUAACGUGAUGGACUUCUAAUCCAAAGGUCGUGAAUACCACCUGGGAUG
Molecule: non-coding RNA, 67 nt
Organism: Trichonephila clavipes
Lineage: Eukaryota; Metazoa; Arthropoda; Arachnida; Araneae; Nephilidae
Source: the annotation of a GenBank genome assembly